AGAGAUGUGUGAUGACGCAUAUCAAUAAGCGGAGGAAAAGAAACUAACAAGGAUUCCCUUAGUAACGGCGAGUGAAGCGGGAAGAGCUCAAAUUUGAAAUCUUCAAGGUUCUACCUUGACGAAUUGUAGUUUAAAGAAGUGUUUUCUGUUAGUGGAGUGGCAAAAGUUCUUUGGAAUAGGACAUCAUAGAGGGUGAGAAUCCCGUAUUUGGUCAUUCCUUCUAGCUUUGUGAUACACUUUCAAAGAGUCGGAUUGUUUGGGAAUGCAGUCCAAAAUGGGUGGUAAAUUUCAUCUAAAGCUAAAUAUUGGCGAGAGACCGAUAGCGAACAAGUACCGUGAGGGAAAGAUGAAAAGAACUUUGAAAAGAGAGUUAAACAGUACGUGAAAUUGUCAAAAGGGAAGCGUUUGACACCAGUGUUGUUUUUCCGAAAAUCAAUUACGAAUGUUUUAUUUUUGAGGAGUUAUGACUUCAUCGGCUUGCUCCUUUCUUUAUGAAACUUUCUUAAUGCACUUUUCGGUUAACAAGUCAACAUCAAUUUCUUUUGUUGUAAAAGGGUAUGAGGAAGGUGGCUUUCUUUUCGGAGAAAGUGUUUAUAGCCUUGUACCUCCGCAAUCGGAGAGAUUGAGGUCUGCAGCGUAGAUCCUUCGGGGUUAGAUACAUUUGUGCUAAGUUAUAGCUUUUCAUAGACAACUUGUUGACUAUGUUAAGUCUUGUAGCUUACUCGCUUAUGCUAUUUUACCUACGCUUAGGAUGUUGACGAUCAGCUGAGCGCG
RNAcentral lists this ribosomal RNA (774 nucleotides) under uncultured Neocallimastigales. RNAcentral's name for it is "partial large subunit ribosomal RNA". It matches the Rfam family "Eukaryotic large subunit ribosomal RNA", at positions 23 to 646 of the family's 3401-position model. Lineage: Eukaryota; Fungi; Neocallimastigomycota; Neocallimastigomycetes; Neocallimastigales. The record is from RNAcentral.